This 1663-nucleotide ribosomal RNA is filed under the name Salmonella enterica subsp. enterica serovar Enteritidis. RNAcentral describes it as "partial 23S ribosomal RNA". It matches the Rfam family "Bacterial large subunit ribosomal RNA", at positions 1213 to 2855 of the family's 2925-position model. Lineage: Bacteria; Pseudomonadati; Pseudomonadota; Gammaproteobacteria; Enterobacterales; Enterobacteriaceae. The record is from RNAcentral.
CUUAUGCGUUGUUGGGUAGGGGAGCGUUCUGUAAGCCUGCGAAGGUGGCCUGUGAGGGUUGCUGGAGGUAUCAGAAGUGCGAAUGCUGACAUAAGUAACGAUAAAGCGGGUGAAAAGCCCGCUCGCCGGAAGACCAAGGGUUCCUGUCCAACGUUAAUCGGGGCAGGGUGAGUCGACCCCUAAGGCGAGGCCGAAAGGCGUAGUCGAUGGGAAACGGGUUAAUAUUCCCGUACUUGGUGUUACUGCGAAGGGGGGACGGAGAAGGCUAUGUUGGCCGGGCGACGGUUGUCCCGGUUUAAGCGUGUAGGCUGGUUUUCCAGGCAAAUCCGGAAAAUCAAGGCUGAGGCGUGAUGACGAGGCACUACGGUGCUGAAGCAACAAAUGCCCUGCUUCCAGGAAAAGCCUCUAAGCAUCAGGUAACAUCAAAUCGUACCCCAAACCGACACAGGUGGUCAGGUAGAGAAUACCAAGGCGCUUGAGAGAACUCGGGUGAAGGAACUAGGCAAAAUGGUGCCGUAACUUCGGGAGAAGGCACGCUGACACGUAGGUGAAGUGAUUUACUCAUGGAGCUGAAGUCAGUCGAAGAUACCAGCUGGCUGCAACUGUUUAUUAAAAACACAGCACUGUGCAAACACGAAAGUGGACGUAUACGGUGUGACGCCUGCCCGGUGCCGGAAGGUUAAUUGAUGGGGUCAGCGCAAGCGAAGCUCCUGAUCGAAGCCCCGGUAAACGGCGGCCGUAACUAUAACGGUCCUAAGGUAGCGAAAUUCCUUGUCGGGUAAGUUCCGACCUGCACGAAUGGCGUAAUGAUGGCCAGGCUGUCUCCACCCGAGACUCAGUGAAAUUGAACUCGCUGUGAAGAUGCAGUGUACCCGCGGCAAGACGGAAAGACCCCGUGAACCUUUACUAUAGCUUGACACUGAACAUUGAGCCUUGAUGUGUAGGAUAGGUGGGAGGCUUUGAAGUGUGGACGCCAGUCUGCAUGGAGCCGACCUUGAAAUACCACCCUUUAAUGUUUGAUGUUCUAACGUGGACCCGUUACCCGGGUUGCGGACAGUGUCUGGUGGGUAGUUUGACUGGGGCGGUCUCCUCCUAAAGAGUAACGGAGGAGCACGAAGGUUGGCUAAUCCUGGUCGGACAUCAGGAGGUUAGUGCAAUGGCAUAAGCCAGCUUGACUGCGAGCGUGACGGCGCGAGCAGGUGCGAAAGCAGGUCAUAGUGAUCCGGUGGUUCUGAAUGGAAGGGCCAUCGCUCAACGGAUAAAAGGUACUCCGGGGAUAACAGGCUGAUACCGCCCAAGAGUUCAUAUCGACGGCGGUGUUUGGCACCUCGAUGUCGGCUCAUCACAUCCUGGGGCUGAAGUAGGUCCCAAGGGUAUGGCUGUUCGCCAUUUAAAGUGGUACGCGAGCUGGGUUUAGAACGUCGUGAGACAGUUCGGUCCCUAUCUGCCGUGGGCGCUGGAGAACUGAGGGGGGCUGCUCCUAGUACGAGAGGACCGGAGUGGACGCAUCACUGGUGUUCGGGUUGUCAUGCCAAUGGCACUGCCCGGUAGCUAAAUGCGGAAGAGAUAAGUGCUGAAAGCAUCUAAGCACGAAACUUGCCCCGAGAUGAGUUCUCCCUGAGACUUAAAGUCUCCUGAAGGAACGUUGAAGACGACGACGUUG